Molecule: small nucleolar RNA, 123 nt
Filed under: Dasypus novemcinctus (nine-banded armadillo)
Lineage: Eukaryota; Metazoa; Chordata; Mammalia; Cingulata; Dasypodidae
Description: Small nucleolar RNA SNORA31 (ENSDNOG00000039651.1)
Source: RNAcentral
AUGUAUCUCUGACCAACCUGGGGCAGAUAAUAUCUGCUGCUAAGGUUUCCACUACAGACACAAGAAAAAGAAGGUCUUUGCACUUUGGUUGUGGCAGCCAAGAUUGAGUGGGGAAAUACAAGA